UACGUAGGCAGCAAGCGUUGUUCGGAGUUACUGGGCGUAAAGGGUGCGUAGGUGGCUCUAUAAGUAUGGUGUGAAAUCUCCCGGCUUAACUGGGAGGGUGCGCCGUAGACUGUGGGGCUAGAGUGUGGGAGAGGAAAGUGGAAUUCCUGGUGUAGCGGUGAAAUGCGUAGAUAUCAGGAGGAACACCGGUGGCGAAGGCGGAUCUCUGGGCCUUACCUGACGCUGAGGCGCGAAAGCUAGGGGAGCGAACAGG
RNAcentral lists this ribosomal RNA (253 nucleotides) under uncultured bacterium. RNAcentral's name for it is "partial 16S ribosomal RNA". It matches the Rfam family "Bacterial small subunit ribosomal RNA", at positions 524 to 776 of the family's 1533-position model. The record is from RNAcentral.